Molecule: long non-coding RNA, 1687 nt
Filed under: Olea europaea subsp. europaea
Lineage: Eukaryota; Viridiplantae; Streptophyta; Magnoliopsida; Lamiales; Oleaceae
Source: RNAcentral
CCAAUUUCAGGUUUGACACUUUUUGGAAUUUAUUUUUCUUCCAUGUUCAGAUGGUUGCUUUAUUUUUUUUUUCCCUUACUUUAUCACAGUUUAACUAAAGAUAUUAAUAGUAUGUUUGAUUGCAAGCAUGAAAUUUACAUGAAAAGAAAAUAAUUUCUAGGAAAAUUGUCAAUUAAAGUGUUUGAUUGAUUUUAUUUUCAACCUAGAAAAUGUUAUAUUUGUCAAUUUUUUAUUAAUAGGUAAAUAGGAGAGAGAGGGAGGGAGUAGAUGAGAGAGAAAAAAAUAAUGAAUUACCUGAAAAAUAAAAAUCUACUCUCCUCGAGGAAAAUAUUUUCCUUGUUUUGAAGGAAAAUAUGGUCAUGUGACCAAAAGUAGGAAAAUAUUUUUCAUGGAAAAAAAUCAAUGAAAAUAGCUAAGAAGUAGGAAUUUGGGUAGAAAAAUAUUGGCAAUUAAACGUACUAUUAAUUUAUAUUAAAACUUUAUCAUGAAGAUUAUACGGCAAAAUGUUUUGUUGGAGCCAGUUAGAAAAUGAGUUGUGUAGUAUAUGAUAAUCGCCCUUACUUGCACGAAAUGUUCAAAUUCUCUGAAAGUGACAAUUAAUUAGGAAAUGAGAGAUUUACUUUUAUGUAAAUCUUAUAGGAAUGUAGAAAGGUCGCCUAUGAAUGAAUUAUAUCGUGUUAAAUAUUUGUACAUAUUGACAUUAAAUAAGUUAAUUUUUUCUGAGUGGAGGCAUGUUGACUAUAAGCCAUUGGAUAAGAGAGUUCAUUUGAUGAUUGUGCAAAAGAGACUAAAAGCUUGUUUGAGAGUAAUUUUUCAUCUAAAAAAAUUGAUCUUUUGAUCGUUAUUUCACUAUUUCAGCUGUGAAGUUUGACUUCUUCUCUCAUGGGUGGUUCUCACUUUUCUCCUAACGGUCACAAAAUCAAUUUUCAAAAUCACUCCCAAACGGGGCCUAAGAAGAAAUUACAGUAGGAUAUACUCGAUCUUGUAUUGACUAGUUUUGAGACUAAUUAAAUUCAUCGCCUUUGUGACCAGAUAUGUUGGCGGUGUGUUUAUCUUGAAAUUGUUAAAUUUGAUUCUUUGAGGAUAUUUAUAUACAUGAGCUGGGACCUUGUCCAAAAAAAGCUUUCUUUAAAGCUACUGAUUAACUUGGGUAAUAUGAUAUUUAAUUAUUUUCAAUUUUUAAUCGGUCCAUGUUUUUCUAUUUAUCUUAUCAAAUUUAAUCAAUUAGUAUUUAGUAGCAUUUGAAUAUAUGAAAGUGUACAGUAAAUUGCAAGUUCUACCAUAUAAGAUAUUGUAAAAAAAUUGGUAAUAUACCAUCGUUUACGCUUUCUUUAAUUACGACUUUAUCCUCCUCUUAGCAUAGUCUCCUGCUUUGAUCCAAAAAUUGACUAAGGAUAGAAGCAAGCUACAAGCAUUAGCAACCGCUUUCAUUUUAUGGAAAUGGGAUCCCCCAAUAGCUAGAGACAAAAGAUUCAUAUGAGAAAACAUAAGUAAACGGGCCUCCAUGAGCCUCCAAAGAUAAAGGUACAUGAACAGCCAUUUGAUCCCCAUCAAAAUCUGCAUUGAAUUCCUUACAAACUAAUGGAUGUAAACAAAUAGCAUGCACCUUCACUAAAACGGGCUGGAAUGCCUGUAUGCCUAAUCUAUGCAGAGUGGGUGCUCUAAUAAGCAAUACAGGAUGCCCCUG